RNAcentral lists this ribosomal RNA (460 nucleotides) under uncultured bacterium. RNAcentral's name for it is "partial 16S ribosomal RNA". It matches the Rfam family "Bacterial small subunit ribosomal RNA", at positions 338 to 795 of the family's 1533-position model. The record is from RNAcentral.
CCUACGGGUGGCAGCAGUGAGGAAUAUUGGUCAAUGGGCGCGAGCCUGAACCAGCCAAGUAGCGUGAAGGAUGACGGCCCUACGGGUUGUAAACUUCUUUUAUAAAGGAAUAAAGUGAGGCACGUGUGCCUUUUUGUGUGUAUUUUAUGAAUAAGGAUCGGCUAACUCCGUGCCAGCAGCCGCGGUAAUACGGAGGAUCCGAGCGUUAUCCGGAUUUAUUGGGUUUAAAGGGAGCGUAGAUGGGUUGUUAAGUCAGUUGUGAAAGUUUGCGGCUCAACCGUGGAAUUGCAGUUGAUACUGGCAGCCUUGAGUACAGUUGAGGUAGGCGGAAUUCGUGGUGUAGCGGUGAAAUGCUUAGAUAUCACGAAGAACUCCGAUUGCGAAGGCAGCCUACUAGGCUGCCACUGACGUUGAGGCUCGAAAGUGUGGGUAUCAAACAGGAUUAGAUACCCCUGUAGUC